Long non-coding RNA from Arachis stenosperma, 1219 nucleotides. RefSeq lists it as uncharacterized. The record is from RefSeq and is a predicted model, not a curated record. The transcript is spliced from 8 exons. Lineage: Eukaryota; Viridiplantae; Streptophyta; Magnoliopsida; Fabales; Fabaceae.
CAGCCGGAAGCGUGAGCUUUGGUAGUUAGGGUGUUACAACCGUCACACCCAGCCCUUUCUCUAUCGCACCCAACCCUGGCAUCAUCAACGGUCUCUCGCACCCUACUCGAACGGUCGCAAACCCUCGCAAACCCAAUCCUCUGUCUCGCAAACCCAACCCUCUGUCUCUGCCUCAGUGGUCUCUCUCUCAAUCAGUCUCUCGACGUGCCCAGGCAUCGGCGUGGCCUUCUACUCGCAAACCCAACCCUCUGUCUCUGUCUCAGUGGUCUCUCCCUCAAUCAGCACCAUAAACACUGAAUCUAACCCUGGAGCACUAUACAAACUACAAAGCCUCAGAUCUUGAAACUGUUGUUCUUGCACUUGUAGAUUUGUAGCUCAACACCAAAGCCAGUUUCCUGAAUGCUAUACGUGAAAAGUAUAAACAACAUAAGGUAUAAAAUUAUUAGUUCGUAGACUGGUGUUAAGAUUUGUAGCUGGACCAAGUCACAGCUUCGAGGACGGUGUGGUUGCUAAGCUACAAGCAUUCAUUCUAUAUUGAGAGCCAUAGGUUAAAGCUGUUGCAGAGGAAAUGGGCAUUGGAUUUUUGGGGAUUGGCUUCCAGCCAAAGUGGGGAAUCAAAGACAUACCUAUAAUGCUGAAGCUUAGCAACUCAUAUUAAGGGAGGCAAAAUAGUUGGGCCUAUUUGAUAUGGGAAGAUAUGAUAUCAUGAGGAAUUACAUGCCCAAAGUUGGUUCCCUUGGUCUUGACAUGAUGUUCAGAACAUGCACUGUACAGGCAGAUCUGUCAUUGAAGUUCGUGAUGGGAUGACUUUUCUUGAUUUAAUUGUUAUCCAAGUUGCGGUUAGUUUACGGUCCUCUCUUUGCUUGGCCUUUAUUUUGGAUGGUAUUCAGAUUCAGAAGGAUAUGAAUCUAUGGCCAAUUAACUGCACUUUGGAGCUCAGUUGAACAACUUUCGUUGUUUUUGGUGACUCCCAAAACAUUGGCUGAUCUGAAGGGUGGCACUUUGAUUUCUUAUGAAGGAAGAGUUCAGGCACAUAACCAUUGCUGAAUCACCACUUCUCAAUGAAGAUUCAGCUGAUUAAAUCUGUACUGUGAUGGUUGCAAAUUGGCCACAAAUUUGAUAGUUUUAAUGAUCUCCUAAGUUCUAAUGAUGAACUUAUUUUGUCCUAAUUCAAUUAUUAGUUUUGUGAAAAUAUUGUAAUUUUUUAAUUAUAAUUAUA